RNAcentral lists this long non-coding RNA (269 nucleotides) under Brassica napus (rape). RNAcentral describes it as "long non-coding RNA (BNAP_LNC026000)". The record is from RNAcentral. Lineage: Eukaryota; Viridiplantae; Streptophyta; Magnoliopsida; Brassicales; Brassicaceae.
CAAAAUCUAGGUGUUAACUCCUACAAAAAUAUUGAAUUUUGGUAAAUGCCUUAUAUACCGAACCAUAUAAUCUUUAGUAUUGUUUUAAAAUUUCUAACCACAUUCUACAUUUGUAUUAAUGUACGUUAAAUUCUCUUUUAUGGUAUAUGAGAAUCGUUCUAAUUCUUUAUCAAUAAAUUAGUAAAACUUCAAAAUAAUAUUUUAAUCAGUAGAAUAAUCACUAAAAUUGCUAUUUUCUUGAAAAACGGACACAACAAAUGAUCUUAACC